ACGGGUGCGUAACGCGUGGGAAUCUGCCCUUAGGUUCGGAAUAACAGCUGGAAACGGCUGCUAAUACCGGAUGAUGGCGAAAGUCCAAAGAUUUAUUGCCUGAGGAUGAGCCCGCGUUGGAUUAGGUAGUUGGUGGGGUAAAGGCCUACCAAGCCGACGAUCCAUAGCUGGUCUGAGAGGAUGAUCAGCCACACUGGGACUGAGACACGGCCCAGACUCCUACGGGAGGCAGCAGUGGGGAAUAUUGGACAAUGGGCGAAAGCCUGAUCCAGCAAUGCCGCGUGAGUGAUGAAGGCCCUAGGGUUGUAAAGCUCUUUUACCCGGGAAGAUAAUGACUGUACCGGGAGAAUAAGCCCCGGCUAACUCCGUGCCAGCAGCCGCGGUAAUACGGAGGGGGCUAGCGUUGUUCGGAAUUACUGGGCGUAAAGCGCACGUAGGCGGCUUUGUAAGUCAGAGGUGAAAGCCUGGAGCUCAACUCCAGAACUGCCUUUGAGACUGCAUCGCUUGAAUCCAGGAGAGGUCAGUGGAAUUCCGAGUGUAGAGGUGAAAUUCGUAGA
RNAcentral lists this ribosomal RNA (557 nucleotides) under uncultured bacterium. RNAcentral's name for it is "bacterial SSU rRNA". It matches the Rfam family "Bacterial small subunit ribosomal RNA", at positions 102 to 694 of the family's 1533-position model. The record is from RNAcentral.